This 425-nucleotide ribosomal RNA is filed under the name uncultured prokaryote. RNAcentral's name for it is "bacterial SSU rRNA". It matches the Rfam family "Bacterial small subunit ribosomal RNA", at positions 355 to 796 of the family's 1533-position model. The record is from RNAcentral.
UGGGGAAUCUUGCGCAAUGGGCGAAAGCCUGACGCAGCAACGCCGCGUGGGGGACGAAGGCCCUCGGGUCGUAAACCCCUUUCAGCAGGGAAGAAGAUGACGGUACCUGCAGAAGAAGCGCCGGCCAACUACGUGCCAGCAGCCGCGGUAACACGUAGGGCGCAAGCGUUGUCCGGAUUCAUUGGGCGUAAAGAGCUCGUAGGCGGUUUGGUAAGUCGGGUGUGAAACCUCCAGGCUCAACCUGGAGACGCCACCCGAUACUGCCAUGACUCGAGUCCGGUAGGGGAGCAUGGAAUUCCUGGUGUAGCGGUGAAAUGCGCAGAUAUCAGGAGGAACACCAGUGGCGAAGGCGGUGCUCUGGGCCGGUACUGACGCUGAGGAGCGAAAGCGUGGGUAGCAAACAGGAUUAGAUACCCCCGUAGUCC